GAGGUGACCAAGCUAACACAAAGCCAAAAAGGGGUUGUUAUAAUCAAGUUAGAAAAAGGUCAACCUAUGCCUAAGCCAAAAUUGGACCUAACUAAAGACUUUGUUUAUGACAUUGAUGCUAAAACACCAGAAAUUAAGGCUCAAAAUGUGGGGUUAGUCACAACCUUAACGGAGAAAGAUUUUCCUUUUAUUAAGGAUGUUGGGUUAAGUGUGAUUAGGGUUAAACUUGAACCUAAUGCUAUUAAGGCACCAUCAAACCUAAUUACCCCUGGGAUUCAGUUAAUUUACAUUGCUAGAGGAAGUGGAAAAAUUGAAAUUGUGGGAAUCAAUGGAAAACGUGUCUUGGAUGCUCAAGUUAAGGCUGGUCAUUUGAUUGUUGUGCCACAUUUUUUUGUGGUUGCUCAAAUUGCAGGUGAAGAAGAAGGAAUGGAGAGUUACUCUAUUGUGACAACUACCAAGUAAGUUAGAGUUUUAAAUGAGAAAUCAAAAUCACAAGUAACUCGACCAUUUUAAAUUGAAUUUAUUUAUCCAACGAAUUCAAUUUUUUAUUCAACUUAAACUCAUUUGAUUCGUAUAUUUUUUACAGACCUUUGUUUGAAGAGUUAGCCGGAAAGACAUCAGUAUGGGGAGCCUUGUCACCUAAUGUGCAACAAGUGUCUUUCAAUGUGGAUUCUGAGUUUAAUAAACUUUUCAUAUCUAAGGCCACAGAAACCACAAGUCUCAUUCUCCCUACCAUUUAGUUUGACUUGUUUAUAGUAUACCCCAAUAAUAUUCUUAUGUGUGGAAUAUUUCUUUUAUUGAAUAUGUGUGGAAUUUAUGUAAUAAGGUGUUUGAUUUUUUUAUUUUUUUUGUUAAUUAAUAAACCCUACCCAAAUGGUGGGUAGAGUUUGUAUGCCAUGAUGUUACAUCCAGGCACCACCAUUUAUAAAUUUUAAUUAUCGGAAAAAAAAAAAAGUUCUAUGAUAAGUAUAAAUAUUGAUUAAUGUGAAUUGUGAAACUACAUGGACAUCCAACCAUGAUAAGCUUAAUGUAUUUUGGUAAUACAUACGCAACAUGAUCUUAGUAUAUGUGAAUGUCGUGUCAAACAUGAGAUGUUGUAGAAGAGUUAUGAGCCUAGGGAAAGCUAUUGACUAAUCCAACUUAACUCUUAUCACUUGAACCCAAAGUCUGAAGGUGUUGUUAAAAAUAAUGAUAAUUAGAAAAUAAUGAUAAUUAGUUAGUAGUUUAGGUGAUUAGUUAAUUACUUGGUUGGUUAGUUAAGCUCCAAAUAUGUUUUGUUUUUAAGGGGUAUGCUCCAAGUAUGUUCUAUAAAUAGAAUAUUAAUGUAUUCAUUUUUAAAGUAUCUUUUAUCGAAAUUAGUCUCUGAGUUUGUUUGUUUUAUUUCUUCUUUAAAUAUCUAUAUAUAAAAAAGCAACCACAAAUCCCUCCAAAAUCUAAUUGAUGUGUCCUUCCUUAGUUUUACAUCGUCUGCUAAUCAAUUAAGAUGUAUGUCUUCAGACCUCUCAAUUGACAAUGAACAUUUCUUUUUAGACUCUUCAAUACCUCUAAGGUCUCUUAAAUAUGGUAGUUACGGGCUUUAGAGAUAUUAGAGAACGUAAGGAGAAACGUCCAUUGACAUAAAUCAAACCAUCAUGAGGAUUGUUUCAACCUAUUGACAUAAAUUUAUUUUUGGAUACUUGAAAGGAUUUCAUGUUACACACCACUUAUAUAUAAUUUUUUAAUAUUUGAAAAACACUCAAAUCUCUAACCCAACACCUCACACACAUUUCUUAAACAAGACCAACUAAACAUCUAUCAAUAGUUCUAUGUCUUUAUAUUUUAUUUUUUAAAAUAUUAAAGAGACGUAAGAUCCACUUAGAGAGAUGACUUAGUAAAACUCAUUUACUCUAUAAACCUCACUUGACUUUUCUAUCCAGUUAGGGUGUCUAUUAGGAAUAAAAGGCUGAUGAAGUUAAGCCUCCCUUUUAUUGAUGGUCUUAACCCAACAAACUUUAGGGUUCUGCUAUAUAACUAUUAUAUAAUUUCCUUUUUCAUAUCCUUAAUCAGUGCCUCGGAGGCAGCGGUUAGUAUUUCCCCAAACUUUAUUCACAUCAUUGCACUAUAAUGAGAAGAUAAAUUAAUUUUCUGUUCUAAUAAUAAAUUUGAAAAAAAAUUAAUAUAAAUAUAAAUUAUUCCAAAUUUAAUAUUACUCUCAAUUUUUUUAAUUUUAGCAAUAAAUAAAUAUAAAAGAAAAAUGUUAACGAGUGCUCCCGGGGUACUCUUUAAGCUAUCAAAAACAAGAAAUUAUUCUUUAAAAAAGUCAAAUAUUUCGAUUUCCAAAACAUUAAUUACAUGCAUUUUCAUAAUAUUCUUACUACUUAUGGUUCUUAAAGAGUUAACAAGACCCUAUAUAUUUAUAGAUGAAGAUUGUAAAAGUAUAGGAUAAAAGCACAUGUGAUGAAGCAUGAGUACGAUUGCACAAAAUAAAAAGGGUAUAUAUGGUGACAAUGGUGCAAUGUAAGAAUGAUCAUGAUUGAAAGGGAAAAUACAAAAGGGUAUAUAUGGUGUAUGUUGAAUGGGACAACUUCGGUGUCUCUAUUAUUGACGCUGUGUUGGACAAUGUUAGGAAGAAAACUAAGUCUGUAUUACUCAUUUGAUUUUCAACGGUUUUUAAGAUUUUGAUGACCUAAAACGAAACUAUAAUUUGGAUCCUAAUUAAUAAAUAGUAUUAAAAGUAAUUUUUUAUUACGUUGAGAAAUAAUCUAAUAAAAACAUUAGACUUUAUAUAAAAAAUAUUAAAUUUUUUAUUUAAUAUUCAAUUGAUCUAAUAGAGGUGGACCAAUUCAUUAUUGAGGGGAUGCAACUGUACACUUUAAAAUUUUUAAUUUUUCUUUUCAUUUUGAACCCCUCACAUUUUCAUUUUGCAUCAAUAAAUGUAUUUUUCACCGACGAAACCUAUCAUUUUUCACCUUGUUGUUGUUGACUGACAACUGACAUAUACAUGCAAUGGUACAAUGUUAACUGAAAAUUUUAUUUUUUGUUACAAUGUUAAUUGUAAUUUUUUGUUUACAAGGCGAAUGAGACAAACCAAACAAGAAAAGAAACGGAACAAAAGAAACAAAUUACUCCCUAAGGAAGAAAGUUCCAGAAGCAACGUUCCUUAGCAAAUUGAGAAGACCAUUUGGAGGGGAUGCAUGAAUUAACAAGUCAUGGUUCCCUUCUCUAAGGGUGUGAUAAAUAAAGACUUUGCUUUAAGAAAUAAGUUCUUUAAUGUACUGAAUUAAAACAAUAUAGAAAUGAUACUUCACAAAGGGGUCAUUGAUGAGGUUAAUGCAGAGAAGAUAAUCUGAGUAGUAUACAAACUCAUCAAUACCCAAGUCUUUGGCAGUGAUGAAAUCUUUGUAAAUUUCAGAAGUUCAGCGAACAUAAUAUAAAAAGAACAUGUAAGGUGAGUUGACAAAGCCGAUAAAAAGAAACCUAAAUUAUUUCAAAGGACGCCUCUAAAACCAGCCCUGGAUGAAGACCCAAGACAACUCUCAUCCACAUUUAGAAUGACACACUGAUGAUUACUAUUAUUCCACUUGAUUAAACAAUCAUCUGAAGCAACAUUAACAUUGUACGAGAAGCUAUACUUGAGGACUUCUACCGUAUUGAAUAUUGAAAAAGAGGCGGUUUAAGGACAUUGUUUUGCUAUUCAAGCACAUCAAAUUUCGGUGUCUCCAAGCCCAUCAAACACACGGUGAAAAGAUGAUUGAUUGUUGUUCCGGACUAGGCCGAGGCCCAAUCUCGGUUAAGACCCGACUCCAACUGAGAUUCAUUGCAGAGUGAAUCCAUAUUAUGGACAUGCACUAAAACCCACUAGAUCAUUGUCUAAACCUUUAACAUGGACUGUCCAGUUCAGAUCCAAUGUCGUGAUUAUUUCUAGAACACCAUUCAGGACACAUGUCCAAGUGAAGGCCUAACAGCCAAAAGCCCAUUUACCCACUAUAUAUACUAUUGCACAAUAUUGGAUCAUCUAUCUCCCUCUUUUCCCUAAUAUUUGAUUUCACUCUUUGAGCGUCAUAGCACGUGUAAGUACACCACCCUUCUUCGGUUGAGAAGGACUUACGACAGACUAUGACGGACCCAUGAUAGAUUACUCACUCUUCUUAGUAGCACUCAACAUAAUAAAUAUUAUUUAUAGGACUAAAAUAAAAUUAGUUAAAUAUUUUUUUUGUCCCUACAAAAUGAAGACCUUUUAAAUUUAAUUUUACUUAAUUUUAAUUGUUCUUUUAGUUCUUUCAAAAAAAUUCUACACAGUCUUAGUCCUUGAUAAAAUUAAAUAUGUUUAAUUACUCUUUAACGCAACUCUUAUGUUUUUAAACCAUUUUUUGCUAAAAUAUUUAAAUAUUAUAAAAAGUUUCUCCAUAAAAAUAAGUUCAAAUUUUAUUUCUAGGUCUAAAUUUUAGUUACUUUUUUCCUUGAAAAAAAUCAUAUUUAAUUAAUCUAAACUCUUAAAUUUUUUAAUAGGUUUUUAAAAGACAUGUUCAGAAAUUAUAAAUAGUAUAUUUAAUAAAAAAAAAAUUACGAAAUUUGGUAAAAGAGAGUGCCGUACCGUUUUGCUCAUCCGUGAAAUUUAGUAUGCACCGAAUUCGUACCAUUCAACAUUUCUCAAAAAAUUAAUACAUUGUUAAAUGACCAAAACUUUGCUUUUUUCCUGUUUUAUGUUUUGGUCCUGUUACAUACAAAACAAAACUAGGUAAUAUGGUCCUAUUACAGUAAAUUUCUUUUCAGACGCUACAGUGACCUAUCCUAUGUUGUGCAGGGACGCCACUCACUUGAUUGAAUUAUUGCUCUGUACGUUUGCAUUGAGGAAAAGAGUUUUCUUUUUCUUCUUUAACAAAAGAGUUAAGAGGACUAGCGUUCAAAGAAAACAAAGAACAAACUAAAACAUGAAUUUAACAUUUUUAAGCAUAUAAGCCUAUUUAAUAUUAUAAAAAAAAAAUUCUAAAUCUCGUUAGGAAAAGUUUUCAUAACAUGAAUGUUUCUUGAUUAUGUCGAAAUGAUAAAAUUAACAAGCUAACCAACACUCUGAUUUUCCUUCUAUAAAAUAUGUUAAAUGUCUAAUUUAAACAUGCCAACUCAAGAAUAACAUACAAUGAAUGCGACACAUCAAAGCAAGAGGAGCAGCCCUCUUAAUCAUGUUGUUAUGUCUCAUCUCAAAUCAUAUCUACAAGAAUCUUUGAAUCACUUUGUAAAACGAAAAGGGGUAUUGACACUCUCUUUUUAACAAUAUCUAUAACACUUACUCUUUUAUCGGAUAAAAUUCAUGUGGAUACAACACAUUUAAAAUGGAUCCCACAUAAAGUGAUAAUACACAUGGGUUCAUCCAAUAGAAAUUGAGUGUUAAAAGAGACAGCUAAAAACAGAGUGUUUCUAACAUUUUUCUUUACAACAAGAAAAACAAAUCUACAAUUAUUACCACAAGCUUUCCAAAUUACAUCAAUCGAAAAAAAUUUUGGCUUAAAUUCUAGCAUAUAUUUGUUUUUUUACUAAAGAAUAUUGUGUGUAUCAGGUAAAACCAAUAAUUUAUGAUUUGUUUGUUAUAAAUUAAAAUAAAAGUGAUUUUAUCAGUGAAUAAUUUAGAGAUUUAAAAGGAAAAUUAAGAUCUAUUUUGCGUUUGUUUAAAAAAGAAAUGUUACAAAAUUAACUCAAUCUUUCACACUUAUUUUCUCUCAUCUAGAAGAAUCUGGUUUUUAGAAGCUACUUCUAACAACUUCUAAUUCAAAGUUGUUUUUAUAUUAUAUCUUUUUAAAAAGUUGUAAAAUAGAUGCAAUACUCUUAAAAAUAAUUAUUAAAAAAAAAAAAAUUCCCUUCAAAAAGUUAUUUGAAAUGGACUCUUAAUUUAUAAUUUAUAAGCUCACAUGACAAAAAAAAAAAAAAAAAAACUUGUUUGAUAUUUCUAUUUUAUUAAAAAUUUAUAACUUAUUCCAAAGGUCGAUCCAAGAGUAAUGCCGCCAAUGCCCUCACUUUAGACCUAUCAACAAAAAGUUAAUGAUUAAGUGUUUUUUCACUAAGUAUAAACAAUGAAAUGAAGAUAAAUAUACAAUUUUAGCGAAUUAAAUUAACUUAAUAAUAAUAUAUAAAAGAUAUAUCAAAUUAAUAAAUUAAGUCACUAAUUUCUAAAUACUUUAGUAUUAUUUGAUAUACAUUUUAUUAUGAUUUAAGGAUAUUAUUUUAUGUUAUUUUAUAUUCAUCUUCUAAUUAAACCGCUAAUUUUACAACCCUUUAAUUAACUUAUCAAUUAUAACCUAUCCCCUAUUUUACAUCUCUCUUAUUUUCCAAGCCAAUCAUAAGCAAUCAACAACUUGGAACAGUAUCCUACUUCAUAUAUAUAUAUACCUCCCUCAGUCUUGAACUCAUGAACUGAGCUUGCGCGUUCACACUAUAUUUUUGAACUAAGGAACACUGAUAUUUAUAAAUUUUGAAAAGCUUUUUUAGGGGAGAAAAAAUUCAAUGGAGUUGGACCUAACACCUAAGGCAGCACAACCAUUGUUUGAAGGAGAUGGUGGUUGUUACUACAUUUGGUUAAGUUCUCAAGUUCCAGUUUUGGCUAAGACCAAUGUUGGUGCUGCCCAUCUUGUGCUUCACCCAGGAGGCUUAGCUCUUCCCCAUUAUGGAGAUUGUUCCAAAGUUGGUUACGUCGUAGAAGGUAAUAUUAGAGAAAUCUUAAACUAUUAAGUUUUGGCUUAAAUAUGUAUUUCCUUUCAAUUAAGGGUCGUUUAAAAAUUGGUCUAUGUAAUCGCUAAUCCUGACAAUUUACCCUUGCAUUGUUUAAUCAUUUAAAAUUUCGUCCCUCUCCCCACUUAAUCACUGCCACGUCACUAAUUUGAUGACGUGACAAUCACUGUCAUACAUGAAAUUUCAAUUUUACCCUUGAGCUUCCAAUUCUCUCUUCAAUAUUUUGUCCUCUUCUUAAAGGCAAAAUUGGAAUUUCACGUGUGAUAGUGAUUGCCACGUCAUCAAAUUAGUGACGUGGCAGUGAUUAAGUUGGUCAAAGGACGAAAUUUUAAAUGAUUAAUGAUUGCAAGGCUAGUUUGCAAGGAUUAGCAAAUACAUAGACCAAUUUUUAAACGAUAUCUAAUUGCAACGAUGAAAUACAUAUUUAAGCCUUAAGUUUUUUAUAAUGAAUGUGUUUAGUUAUUUAUUCAAAUGUCCUCAAAUGCAUGCAGGGACUAAUGGUGUAGUUGGAAUGAUACUCCCCAGCACCGGAAAAGAAGUAGUUUUGAAGCUUAAGCAAGGAGACAUUGUACCAGUACCCAUUGGAGCUGUUUCAUGGUGGUUCAAUGAUGGUGACUCAGACUUUAAAAUUAUAUAUCUUGGGGAAACUUCAAAUGCUCUUGUUCCAGGGGAAUUCACAUAUUUUAUCCUAGGUGGUGUUCUAGGACUUUUAGGAAGUUUUUCUAGUGAAUUAAUAAGCAAAGUAUACAAUUUUAAUAAAGAUGAGGUGACCAAGCUAACACAAAGCCAAACUGGGGUUACAAUAAUCAAGUUAGAAAAAGGCCAACCUAUGCCUAAGCCACAAAUGGACCUAACUAAAGACCUUGUUUAUGACAUUGAUGCUAAAGCCCCAGAAAUUAAGGAAAAAAAUGUGGGAUUAGUCACAAGCUUAACGGAGAAAGAUUUUCCUUUUAUUAAGGAUGUUGGGUUAAGUGUGAUUAGGGUUAAACUUGAACCUAAUGCUAUUAAGGCACCUUCAAACCUAAUUACCCCUGGGAUUCAGCUAAUUUACAUUGCUAGAGGAAGUGGAAAAAUUGAAAUUGUGGGAAUCAAUGGAAAACGUGUCUUGGAUUCUCAAGUUAAGC
This 7823-nucleotide long non-coding RNA is filed under the name Medicago truncatula (barrel medic). RNAcentral's name for it is "long non-coding RNA (MTRU_LNC006568)". The record is from RNAcentral. Lineage: Eukaryota; Viridiplantae; Streptophyta; Magnoliopsida; Fabales; Fabaceae.